AGAAGACGCCAAAAUCUAAUAAAAGGAAUUGACAGUGUGUAACACUUGAGCUGUGAUUAGCUCAAUAGAACAGUAGCAAUUGAAACACAAAAAAUGAAAAUCAAUAGAAAAGAUAGAAAUUCUUCAUAAUUCCCUAAAUCCUCGUACAGACUCUGAUGAUAUUUAAAGGACAACUAGGACUGAGCUAAUACAAACAAAAGAAAAUAACAGACCCAUUAAUUGAAGGACACGUUAAGGACACGUGGUGAUCUUCUAGAAUGGAGCUUCACUUGAUCUACUAAGGCUAAUACCCAACUGGGCUAACCAACUAAAAAAAAGAAGGCUUUUACUAAUCAAUUGGACUAGGAAAGGAAAGGCCCAACAUACUCCUUAUACUAGAUAAGAGACCCGUCUCUUACAUUCCACUCCCCUUAAAGUAUCUUGACAGAGGUUCAUGGAUUAAAUCCCGGAAAUUGAGAACGGAGAAAUGCAAGAUCCUCCCAUGUAGCUUCCUCUGGCGGCAAGUUUGCCCACUGAACUAACCAUUGUACCGCUGCCCGAUUUCCUUUCUUGAUCAUUCUUCGUUCUAAAAUGGAUAUUGGCUCAGUCAGAAUUCUUCCAUCAUUUGUGUAAUAAGGAGGGUCCCUUGAAGCCACUAUUUGAUCUCCUAUUUUCUUCUUGAGCUGAGACACAUGGAAGACUGGGUGAAUUUUUGAUCUCUCUGGCAAUUUGAGCUCGUAAGCUACUGAACCGAUUUUGUGCACUACCUCGUAAGGUCCGAAAAUCUAGCUGAAAGCUUCAAAUUGCGCUGCAAUGCUACUGAACUUUGUCAGUAAGGCUGCAAUUUCAGGAAGACCCAAUCACCUACUUCAAAUUUCCUCUCACUUCUUCUAUUAUCGGCAAAAUGUUUCAUUCGAUUUUGUGCUCGAAUUAGAUUAUCCUUCAACAUUUUAUCCAUAAGUUGACGCUCCCUCAAUAAGUGAUCCACAAAAUCAACUUUGAUCUGAGCCACCAAUUCAAAUGUGGGCAUUGGAGAUUCAUAGCUGUAGAGAGCCUUAAAAGGAGACAUUCCCAAGGAGCUGUGGAAGUUCGAGUUAAAUUCUGCUUGAGCGAGCCACUUGCUCCAAUCUGUAGGUUUAUGGCCUAUCAUAUAUCUCAAGUAAGUCUCCAAACAACGAUUCAACCUUUCAGAUUGUUCGUCGGUUUGAGGGUGAUAUGCCAAGCUUGGUUUCAAUUGAACCUUAAGACCCUUAAAAAGCUCUCUCCAAAAUGUACUGAUGGAAAUGGGGUCACGGUAUGAUACGAUAGAAGUAGGUAAGCCAUGUAACUUACAUACAUUAUCAAUGAAGACCUGUGCAAUCUGUGAAGCAGUGUAUGGGUAGGUUAAUGCAAAAAAAUAAGAGUACUUGGUGUAUCUAUUGAUUACCACCAGAACUGAAUCUUUUCCUUGUGAUUUUGGCAGACCACUUAUAAAGUCCAUCGCCACAUGUUCCCAAGCUCGAGUAGGAAUGAGAAAUGGUUGUAGCAAGCCUGGGUAAGACACAUUUUCGUCUUUGUUUCUUUGGCAGACCUCACAUUCUCUAAUUUGAUUCUUUACAUCUUGUAAAAUAGCGGGCCAAUAGAAGACAUUCCUGAUGCGUUGUUGAGUAGCUAACCCCCCUGAAUGACCUCCUCAGGAAGAUGUAUGGAACUCUGAAAUGAGUUUCUUCCUUAGCUGACCACUACUCCCGACCCAUAUAUGACCUUGAUGCCUGAUGACACCUUGUUGAUAUUGAACAUCUAGUAUUGAAUUUGGGUCAAUAGAAAGCUUAGCGAUGAGGUUGUGGAUCUGUUGGUCUCCUUCAUAGCUAUCUAUUAUCUCAUUCACCCAACUGGGCUGCACAACUGAAAGCCCAUCACAAGUUCCUUCCUCAAAUUUCCUGGAUAAUGUAUCCACAGCUAUAUUUUCAAUUCCUUUACGAAACUAUAUUUCGUAACUGAGGCCCAAUAGCUUAGUAACACCUUUGUGUUGUAAAGAGGUGGUGAUUAUCUGGUCUUUCAAAAAUAUUAAAUUGAAGUGAUUAGUUUUAAUUAUGAAAUGACUUGGUUGCAAAUAAUGUCUCCACUUAUCAAUGACAUAGAGGAGAGCCGCCAAUUCUUUUUCAUAAGUAGACAGCCCAAGGUAUUUCGUGCUUAAAGAUUGACUCAAAUAAGCAAUAGGUCGGCCUCCUUGUGUCAAAACUGCCCCAAUGCCUCUUCCACUCGCAUCCACUUCAACAACAAAUGGUAUUGUGAAGUUAGGUAAUGCUACCACAGGGGCUUUCACCAUGGCUUGUUUAAGCUCCUCAAAAGCCUGGGUUGCUUUCUCUGUCCAUUGGAAACCGCCCUUUUUGAGUAACUCAGAUAGAGGUUUGCUGAUUAGAGCAAAAUCUUUAAUAAAUUGCCUGUAAUAACCAGUAAGGCCCAAAAAUUCCCUCAACUCUUUGACGGAUUUAGGUACGGGCCAACUCAACAUAGCCUCUACUUUAGCCCCAUCAGUAUCGACUCCUUCAGUAGAAAUAAUGUGGCCUAAAUACUCGAUUUGUUUUUGAGCAAAACUGCACUUUGCCAACUUUGCAAACAAUUGGUUGGCCUUCAAAAGAUCAAAAACCAUCUGUAAAUGCUUGACGUGGUCAUGUAAAGAGGUGCUGUAAAUUAAGAUAUCAUCAAAAAAUACUAGCACAAAUUUCCUUAACAAUGGGCCAAAUAUCUGAUGCAUGAGAGCCUGGAAUGUCGCGGGUGCAUUAGUAAGACCAAAAGGCAUCACUCAAAAUUCCCAAAGCCCGUGAUGGGUUUUAAAAGCAGUUUUGUACUCUUCGCCCUUCUUCAUUCGGAUUUGAUGGUACACCGAACACAAAUCCAGUUUGGAGAAAAACUAGGCACCAAACAGUCCGUCAAGUAAAUCUUCAACAACAUGGAUAGGAUAUUUAUUUUUUUACUGUAAUCUCAUUGAGCUUCCUAUAGUCUACACACAAUCUCCAACUCGAUUCUUUUUUCUUUACCAACAAGACUGGUGAGGCAAAAGGAGAUACACUUGUGGUCACAGUGUUAGCCUUUAGCAUAUCAGCUACAAUCUCCCCAAUGACAUUUUUUUGUUCGAAUGAGUAGCGAUACGGCCUAAGGUUGACUGGUUUAGAACCUGGUAACAACUCAAUUGCGUGGUCACAAGGCCUAGCUGGAGGUAUGGCCUUAGGCUCUUGAAACAAUUCUAAGUAAGUGCUCAUAAGUUUGGUACCUCUUCUGGGAUUUCAUCCCCCGUCUUGAACUUUUCUGCCAACAACAAUUGGGCUACAUAAUUGCAUUGUCCAGUGUAGAGCAACCUCUUGAUCUUUCUAGCAUCCACUUCUAUUGGGGGUUGAAUCACAGUAUAUCCCAGCAAAUGAACCACUUUGGAGUCCCUAAUAAAUGAUAUACUCAGUGGUUUUGUAUGUAAAACAAUAGGUGCCAUAGUGUCAAUCCAGUCCAUUCCUAGUACCAUGUCACAACCCCCUACCUUAACCAAUUUCAUAUCAAAAGUGAACUCCAACUCAUGUAUCUUCCACUUAAAUUGCUUGCUAUGUUCAUGACACCAUACAUACUGACCAUUGGCCACCUUUACGCGCAUUGCUAGGUAAGAAAUCAGUAGGGCUUGACAACAAUGAAACUGUGAGUGGAUCCAUGAAACUGUGAGUGGAUCCACUGUCAAUCAAAAUUAUUAUCUGAUGCUUCUUACCCAACCCAAAAUUUUAAUGGUUGAAGGAGUUUUAUCACGGCCCAUUAUGGCAUUAAUGGACACUUCUCCCUGAUCGUGUCCUUCCACUGCUUCCUCUUGCCCUUCUUCUUGCAAAACCUCAGCAGCAUCGCAAAACUCUUCCCCUUCCGUCGCUUGUACUGCUUUUGAUUUACACUGGUGACCGGAUGAUAUUUGUCUAGACACUUAUAACACAGGUUCUUUGCACGCAUUUCUUCUAAGGACAUUUUUCGGUUUGCUGGGCUUUUAAGGGUAACAACAUUAGGGCUUUUUACUGGAUCUAGGGGGAAAGUGGGCUUGGAAAAUUGUGUAGAAAGUUUCUUGGUCCAUUGAGAAUACAUUUGCUGGUAAAGGGCAUUGAAGGAUUGUUCAUGAAGCUUGGCAUAGUUAUAAGCAUCCAUCAAUGUUCUGGAAUUAGCAUACUCUACUAAUGGCAGAAUAUCAGGUUUCAAACCCCCAAUAAAGCACUCCACAAAAUAGGAUUCACGCAACGAUGGUUAUUCAAGGAAAUUAAACAUCUUAAUUCUUCAAAUCUUUGUUGAUAACUUUCAACAUCAUCAAUUUGUGACAAACGAUUAAACUCUGAUGUCACCCCUACGGGUCUGUUGUUGCCAAAUCGUUUACACACAUCCACACAAAAGGUAGGCCACGCCACAUGACCACCCCUAUCAAGCACGUAGUUGUCAAACCAGUUGUCAACAAAAUCUUUCAAGUGUAUUGCAACUUAAAUCAUUUUAGUGUCAUCAUGAACUUGAUACAACUCAAAAUAUUUGUUACACCUACGAAUCUAGCUGCGUGGAUUAAGUUCAUCAAAUUUCGGAAAAACUAGUUUUGCUAGUGGCAGUUUAAGAUGAUGUAACUAGGCCCUAUACCAAUUCAGAGUAUUCGAAGUGUGGUUAGACCAACCAAUAGCUGGUUGAUUGAAUGGUCCAAACGGAACUACUGGGCCCUGAGAAUAAUACUGACCAUAUGACGAAGGCACCUGAAUUUGGUUGGUCUCAUAUAGUGGAUUUGUCAGAUAAAAAUUAUUUGUGGGCCGGUAAGCUGUUACAGGGGAGUUCAGGGGUUGACAUGAAGGUGAAGAUGAAGAUUGGCCCAAUGAAACAAAAAGAGCGGUGCUGGGCGAUGUAAAAGCUACAGCUGAAGGGUUCAAUGGGUGGGAUGAUAAUGGAGUGUGAAUUUGGCUAGAAGAAAAAAUAGGGUUCAUUGGAAAGGGCUGGUUUAACGGAAAUGAUGAAGGUGUGUGUGAGACGUUACUUGUAGUGGUGCCGGUGGUUGUUUGAGAAGGAGUUGAAGUGUUAGAGUGAUAAUUACCAGCAACUGAAGACUGCCCAGAUUCCAUGGCAAAAGCACCGAAGCUCAUCAUUGCUGGUGAACUGGUGGAGGCCACCGAACCUUGAGUUUUGUUCAAGCUUAGCUGCAUCAGUAUCAUUUCUUGCAUUUGUUUAGUGGAUUCCGCAAGAUCCAACAUCUUUGUUUCAAAAACAUUCUGUCGUUCAUCCAUCUUAUCGAAUUUCUUUGCGGUAUCAACAAUAAAUUCUUGGAACUGAGAUUCCAAUUGUUUGACGGCCUCAUCCAUCGGAGCACCACGUUGUUUAUCGACCAUCGCUGCCAAGAUUCAGGCUCUGAUACCAAAUGUAACACUUGAGCUAUGAUUAGCUCAAUAGAACAGUAGCAAUUGAAAGACAAAAAUGAAAAUCAAUAGAAAAGAUAGAAAUUCUUCAUAAUUCCCUAAAUCCUUGUACAGACUCUAAUGAUAUUUAAAGGACAACUAGGACUGAGCUAAUACAAACAAAAGAAAAUAACAGACCCAUUAAUUGAAGGACACGUUAAGGACACGUGGUAAUCUUCUAGAAUGGGGCUUCACUUGAUCUACUAAGGGUAAUACCCAACUGGGCUGACCAAUUAAAAAAAAGAAGGCUUUUACUAAUUAAUAGGACUAGGAAAGGAAAGGCCCAACAUACUCCUUAUACUAGAUAAGAGACUCUGUCUCUUACAGAGUGCGCCUGGAGAAUGGAUAAGUGAUAAAUAUGGUAUUGUGAAAGAACUGGAAGAUUUUUAUAGUGACUUGUUUACUUAUUCCUGUCUUUCAGACUUACUGAGAAUAUUACUGCAUAUACCUAUUACCAUAGAUGAAAAUAUGAAUCAAGGUCUUCUUUCUGAGGUCACAGACGAAGAAAUUAAAGUUGUUGUUUUCUCAAUGCAACCCACAAAAUCACCUUGUGUAGAUGGAAUGACGCCUCUAUUUUUUCAAAAGUUUUGGUCUUUAAUCUCUAAUGAUGUGUGUUCAGUGUUAGGUAUUUCUUUGAAACAGGAAAUCUUUUGCCUCAUUGGAAUCAAACAUUGAUAACUUUAGUUCCAAAAAUAAAGACACUUACUACUAUACAUCAUUUUAGACUUAUUAGCUUGUGUUCUACUUUUUAUAAAAUAAUUGCAAAAGUUUUGGCAAAGCGUAUGAAACCUUUGAUUCCUUCAAUAAUUUCUCCAAAUCAGACCACUUUUGUGGGAAAACGAUAAAUUAUGGAUAAUGUUGUCUUAGCACACGAAUUCAUGGGACUAUUGAAGAAUAAAAGAAAGGAAAAGAGAAUCUGAUGGCAUUAAAAUUGGAUAUUUCAAAAGCAUACGACCGUGUGGAAUGGAUUUAUAUCCAACAUAUGAUGCACAAGAUGGGUUUCCAUAGGAAGUUUGUAGAUUGGAUCAUGACAUGUGUGACUACUACAUCAUUUUCUUUUAAUCUAAAUGGGGAAAUUGUAGGUUCUGAAGCCAUCUAGAGGUUUGAGACAAGGUGACCUUCUAUCACCCUAUCUUUUUUUAAUUUGUGCUGAGGGUUUAUCAAUAAUGUUGCAUUUAGCUAGGGGCGGCCCGACAUAUUUUGGGGCCUAAAGUCAAACUUUAAUGAGGGGCCUUAAUGUUUUUAAUUUUUUUAUUAUUUGAAUUCAAGUUUUCUAGCUUUUUUAGAUGUAAAGUUACUAAUAAUUUUUUUAUAAUCAAUUUCUCCUAAUAAGUCUUUCUCAAUUGACAAUAUAGCUAACCCAUUUAAUCUCUCUUGAGACAUAUUUUAUUAAUUUUAAUUUUGAAAAGCUUCUUUCCGCUGAAGCAACGGUAACGAGAAUUGUUAAUAUUAUUCUAUAAGCAAUAUAUGCAUUUGAAAAAGAAUCAAGUCUCUUUAUUUGAUUGAGUAUAUCGAUUAAACUAUUAUCUUCUACUUGUACUAUUUCUCUUAAUACUUCAACUCAGUAAAUAAAUCUAAACCAUCAAUAUCGGAUUGAUUAUUAUGCUUUAAGAAAAGUUCAAGAUUAAGACAAUGUGUUUUAAAUUUCCAUCAUCUAGUAAUCUUAGUUUUUUACCACUAAAUAGAAAACCAAAUAUAUUUUCAUAUGCUUCAAAUUGUUCAAAUCUAUUUUGAAGUGAAAAAAUAGCCUUGUCUACUAUGUAUAAAAAGUUAUCAACUCUAAAGGACUCUUCAAGAGACUUUGAGAUUUCAUUAUCAUCAUUCUUAUCAAAUUUUUUCUUCUUAGAUAUCACACAUUUUUACGAAAUUCGGGUUCAAUAUUCAUUUCAAAUGCAAUUUCCUUGGCAGAAAUCAUAGCAGUUGCAAAUCCUUCUUCUCUAUAUUUGUUAAAAAAAAGAAAUCAAACCUUUUAAUUGAUCUAUGGCAACAUCAAUAUGCAUGUCUUUUGACUGCAUAUUUUACUAACUGAAUUAACAACAAAUAAUAUAUCAUACCAAAUAGUCAUACCCAAUAAAAAUUCAAAAUUUUCGAGUUCAUAUGUUACUAAGCAAUUAGCUUCACUUUUUAGUUUUUGGAUCAUCACUAAUUUCUACUAAUAUCAAUAAAGCAUCUUUUAUUUGUGGAGUUUGAAAUCUUAUUGCUUUAAUGCUUUCAAUACGACUUUCCCAACAAGUUUGUGACACUGAUUUAAGAGUUAGACUGGGUUCACUAUCCUUUAAUAUUUUCCAUCGCUUAGUAGAAGAUGAAAAUAGUGAAUAUAUACAUUGUACCACUUCAAAAAAUGAUAUAGCUUUUGUACAAGAAUUAGCCAUAUCACAAAGUAAUAAAUUUAGAUUGUGACAACUACAUGGUGUAUAAAAUGAUCUAGGAUUUACAUCAAGAAGUCCUUUUGCACUCGUUGAUGUUUUCCUUCAUAUUUGACCAUUAUCAUAUCCUUGCCUUCUUAAGUUAUUAAUAUCAAGUCCAAUAUUUUUUAUUUCAUCUAUAAUAACUUCAAUGUAACGACCCGACCUGUCGUUUUUAGCAUUUCCAUCUCGUUUAGCUAUUUGAAGUCUUGAGUAGUGUUGUUUUGUAUAUUAUGACUUGCGAGAGUGGUCAAGUUUUAUUUUCAGAUGAUUCAAAAUUUAAUGGAAAGAAUAAUUCAUGUUUUGGAAGCUUAAGUUGAAUAAAUGGACCGGAUGACAAAAUAUGUGUAAAUGAUCCCGAAAUGAAUUUUUAAUGAUUCCAAUAGCUUCGUAUGGUGAUUUUGGACUUAGGAGCACGCCCAGAAUUCUUUUUGGAAGUCUAAAGUUAAAUUAGGUUUGAAAUGGCAAAAAUAGGAAAUUUGAGUUUGGAAGUUUGAUUGAGGAGUUGACUUUUUGAUAUUGGGAUCAAAAUAUGAUUCUGAAAAUUGAAACAGCUUCGUUAUAUCAUUUAUGACUUGUGUGCAAAAUUUGAGGUCAAUCGGAAUUGAUUUGAUAGGUUUCGGCAUCGAAUGUAUAAAUUGGAAUUUGUUAGUUUUGAAUAGGCUUGAUGUGACGACCUGGCCAGUCGUUUGAUGAGUUACCGCUCCGUUUCUCCCAUUUAUGCUUCUUUAUGCUUAGUUAUCCGUGUUUUAUGGUAUCGGGUUGGUCGGAUCGAAUCCGGAAUGAUUCUGGUAAGGUUUGAGACACUUAGUCUCUUUUAAGGGAGUUUGAGUUGGAAAAGUUAACCAGAUGUUGACUUAUGUAUUAGGAGGACUCGGAUGUGAGUUUUAGUGGUUCGAUUAGCUUCAGGAGGUGAUUCAUGACUUAGGAAGGUGAUCAGAACGGUUUUUGGAGGUUCAGAGUAGAAUUAGGCUUGAAUUGGUGAAGUUGAUAUUUUGGCGAUUUCCAGUCGAUAGGUGAGAUUUUGAUAUAGGGAUCGGAAUGGAAUUCCAAGAGUUGUAGUAGUUCCGUUGUGUCAUUUGUGAUGGAUGUGUGUGCAAAAUUUCAGGUCAUUCAGACGUGGUUUGGUUGAGUUUUUGAUCAAAAGCGUAAUUCAGAAGAAUUUACAAAGUUUGGCUUGAAUUCGAUGUGUUUUGGAUCAUUUGAUGUUGUUUGAGGUGUUUUGAUGAUUGGAACAAGUUUGAAUAAGGUUUUAGGAUAUGUUGGUGCCUUUGGUUGAGGUCCUGGGAGCCUCGGGUGAGUUUCGGGUGGUCUAUCGGAUCAUUUUUGGAGUUAGGAAAUUGUAGAAAAUCUGUUCAGCUGUUGCAGAGAUUUUACCCUUCGUGUUCGCGACUGGAGCCUCGCAUUCGCGAAGAGGCAGGUGAGGAAGGCAAGGAUUAAGGCUUAGCGUUCACGGAGGGCUGGGAAGUGGUGCAUCGCGUUCACGAGAAGAUCUUCGCAAUCACGUAGAGGAAUUUGGGUCAGAUGAGUUCGAGGUCAAGUGUUCAUCGCUUUCGCGGAAGGGUGAGCGCGUUCGUGAAGGGUAAGGUAGAGGAAGUAUCGCGUUCACGAUGGUCAUGUCGUGUUCGCAUAGAGGAAAAGUUGGUCAAAGUAAGUUUGUGCUUCGCGAACGCGAGGGUUUGACCGCGUUCGCGAAGAGGAAGAUAUGCCUGGGCAGAAAUGUUUUUAAACUCGUCUUGUCCGCGAGGAUUGAGUUUAUUUCCUCCAUAGUUGGUCAUUUUGGGAUAGGAGAUUGAAGAGGGAUUCAAGGGGAAUCGUUGGGAUGUAAGAUUUUUGGACUUAAAACUCGAUUAUUAUGUGAAUUCCACCUAGAAAAUCAUAGAAUCUAUGCCUAAAAUUGAAGAACUAGGUCUUGAAAUUUGAGACCAAACAUUUGGGAUUUGAAGGGUCAUUUGUGGAUGGAAUUUGAUGUUCUUGGUAUGUAUGAAUCUCGUGGGGAGAUAAGGAAUCUAUUGGUGUAAAAAUUUCUAAAUUUCGAGAUGUGGGCCUGGGGGUCGGGUUUUGGUAAUUUCAGGAUUUGUGCCCUUUGUUGAUUAUUUUCACUUGGGCUUUGUUCCCUUAGCAUAUGUUGACGUCCUCCUUCUAAUUUUAGAUAGAUUCGAUGUGCGUGGAGGCCGAUUAUAGGGUCAAAGGCAUCAUUAUCUAGAGAUUUAGCCGGUUCGAGGUGAGUAAUGAUUGUAAAUGAUGUUCUGAGGGUUUGAAACCCCGAAUUGCAUAUCGUAGUGCUAUAUUGAGGUGAGACACACGCUUGAUGGCGAGCGUGGGGUCGUACACUGUUGGGGAUUGUGACUUGGUCCGUCCCAAAUGACUANNNNNNNNNNNNNNNNNNNNNNNNNNNNNNNNNNNNNNNNNNNNNNNNNNNNNNNNNNNNNNNNNNNNNNNNNNNNNNNNNNNNNNNNNNNNNNNNNNNNNNNNNNNNNNNNNNNNNNNNNNNNNNNNNNNNNNNNNNNNNNNNNNNNNNNNNNNNNNNNNNNNNNNNNNNNNNNNNNNNNNNNNNNNNNNNNNNNNNNNNNNNNNNNNNNNNNNNNNNNNNNNNNNNNNNNNNNNNNNNNNNNNNNNNNNNNNNNNNNNNNNNNNNNNNNNNNNNNNNNNGGGCCUAGUGCCAACUAUUUGAACCCUUCGGGGAUUUUCAUUGCUAUUUCCUCACUCUUUUGACUUAAUACUUGAACUCAGUCAUGUUAUUUUCCAUUGUUUUCAUACUCAGCCAUGUUUACUUAGUUUUAAGACUUAAAUGAUAUUUUAAAUCAUAUUUGGGACUGAGCAUCAUGUUUUACUAUUGCCUGAGUGGCUUGUAAUAAUUUUUGACUAAGUAAGGCUGAGGGCUUGUGUUGUGAGGAUACUUUUGGGUCGGGCUACACGCCGCAUCGGUGAUACACUGAUUUUGAUUAUGGGGCUGAGGGCCUGAGAUAUGUACGCCACGAGGUGGCUUCUUGAUUUGAGGCUAAGAGCCUAGAGAUGAUGCCACGAGAUUGCUUGAUAUUGCGCUUGGGCCGUAAGGGGCCCCUCCCGAAGUCUGCACACCCCUAGUGAGCGCUGGUACCCAUUGUGAUGUGAGAUUGAGCUCGAGGGGCUUCUAUUGUUCUGAGAUAUUGCCCGAGGGGCAAACUUCUAUUUGUUUACUUUACCUUAAUUACCUGUCAAUUACUUGUUUACUUGUUGAAGGAGGAUUUACUUGACUUUUUGCGGUUUUUCUGCGUUUAAAUGGUUUUACUGAUUCAUUAUAGAAUGCCUUGUGCCUUACGUGUUUUCUUACUUUAAGUUGUUAUUUACAUUUGUUAUUCACUAAGUUGGAGUACUCACUUUACUCCCUGCACCCCUGUGUGCAGAUUCAGGCGUAGCUGGUUUCGCUCCCGA
This 11218-nucleotide long non-coding RNA is filed under the name Nicotiana tabacum (common tobacco). RNAcentral's name for it is "long non-coding RNA (NTAB_LNC009064)". The record is from RNAcentral. Lineage: Eukaryota; Viridiplantae; Streptophyta; Magnoliopsida; Solanales; Solanaceae.